GCGAAGGUGGCGGAAUUGGUAGACGCGCUAGCUUCAGGUGUUAGUGUUCUUGCGGACGUGGGGGUUCAAGUCCCCCCCCUCGCACCA
RNAcentral lists this transfer RNA (87 nucleotides) under Escherichia coli. Its description in RNAcentral is "tRNA-Leu". It matches the Rfam family "tRNA". From Rfam's summary of the family: Transfer RNA (tRNA) molecules are approximately 80 nucleotides in length. Their secondary structure includes four short double-helical elements and three loops (D, anti-codon, and T loops). The record is from RNAcentral. Lineage: Bacteria; Pseudomonadati; Pseudomonadota; Gammaproteobacteria; Enterobacterales; Enterobacteriaceae. RNAcentral also lists the same sequence under 2 other names.